Molecule: ribosomal RNA, 252 nt
Filed under: Kandleria vitulina DSM 20405
Lineage: Bacteria; Bacillati; Bacillota; Erysipelotrichia; Erysipelotrichales; Coprobacillaceae
Description: partial 16S ribosomal RNA
Rfam family: Bacterial small subunit ribosomal RNA
Source: RNAcentral
UACGUAGGUGGCGAGCGUUAUCCGGAAUCAUUGGGCGUAAAGAGGGAGCAGGCGGCCGCAAGGGUCUGUGGUGAAAGACCGAAGCUAAACUUCGGUAAGCCAUGGAAACCGGGUGGCUAGAGUGCGGAAGAGGAUCGUGGAAUUCCAUGUGUAGCGGUGAAAUGCGUAGAUAUAUGGAGGAACACCAGUGGCGAAGGCGACGGUCUGGGCCGCAACUGACGCUCAUUCCCGAAAGCGUGGGGAGCAAAUAGG